CACGUAGGAGGCGAGCGUUGUCCGGAAUCAUUGGGCGUAAAGGGUAUGUAGGUGGUCUCGUUUGUCUGGGGUGAAAGCCUUGAGCUUAACUCAAGAAGUGCCUUAGAAACGGCGAGACUGGAGUACUGGAGAGGGUCGUGGAAUUCCCGGUGUAGCGGUGAAAUGCGUAGAGAUCGGGAGGAACACCAGAGGCGAAGGCGGCGACCUGGACAGUUACUGACACUAAACUACGAAAGCGUGGGGAGCAAACAGG
Molecule: ribosomal RNA, 253 nt
Filed under: uncultured bacterium
Lineage: Bacteria
Description: partial 16S ribosomal RNA
Rfam family: Bacterial small subunit ribosomal RNA
Source: RNAcentral